CCACGAUAGAACGGUGCCUGGUGUCUGUCUCCAACAGCAGACCUGUUUAAUCCAGUACCUACAGUACCUGCCGGACAAAAACGCUGGCUCACACUGCAAAGGGGGCUAACUCCAGGACCUGGGCGGCCAGAAACCCACCCAGCAGCCAGCUGAACACCUGGGGAUGCUGAUUUAGCCUUCCCUGUCUCAGUCACUCGUUCAGACUUGCAGGGGUUGCAUGUUUUCAGAGAACUUGAAAGGGGAAGUACUUUCACAUACUGCAGGAAAAUACUCAAGAAUGUGAACUCCAUCUAUUUGUCGAACAAAGAAGCUACCUGUACAGUUCAACUCUUUAAGGUAUCCAUUUGGAAUCACUGUGGACAUGCUUUGAAUGAUUCAUGGAUACCUCAUUAUGAGAUCUCUCUGUCACAAUGAUAUCAGGGCAUCCUCUGAAAGACAGCUCAUUCUAUCUGGCACCCAGAGUAGUCCUCCAAGGCUCACAAGCUAAUACAACAGAAGACGAAGAUGACCCCAGGGAAACUUGAUUUAGAAGUAUAACAACAGUAUUAAAGAACUUAAAGAUACUUAUGCAAAUAUCCAGAGAGAAAAUUAAGUUUUUUCAAAACCUUUUAGAAAAACCUAUCCUGAGAAUAAAAAUUGAAAUCUACAAGGAGUUACCUCAAAUUCUGUCUGAAGUGAAUUUUUAUGCAAUUAAUGAAGGCAGAAAUAUAUAACAUAUUAGCUUGGCUUUUUCCUUUAACAUAAUAAUCAGUUCAAUGGAUUAAUCCCCUCACUUGAGCUCUUUGAUAUUGUCUCUCAGGGUUCACUUCAAAAGAAAUACGUGUUCCCAUAUUAAAGGUGAUUCAGAGGUCUUGAAUUGUUAUUAAUAAAAGGCAACUGGUGUCGUAAUAAGCAGACUACGAUCUGCAGUAUAAGCCAAGUAAGUGCUUGAGACACAGGAAAGUUGGAGAGGGAAACACUGAAGAGAUUAUGCUACUCUGAUAAUCUCUUUCAAUGAGAAAUUCAGGGAAAAAAUGAUUUACUUUCUUUAUCAAU
Long non-coding RNA from Heterocephalus glaber (naked mole-rat), 1035 nucleotides. RefSeq lists it as uncharacterized. The record is from RefSeq and is a predicted model, not a curated record. Lineage: Eukaryota; Metazoa; Chordata; Mammalia; Rodentia; Bathyergidae.